RNAcentral lists this ribosomal RNA (442 nucleotides) under uncultured bacterium. RNAcentral describes it as "partial 16S ribosomal RNA". It matches the Rfam family "Bacterial small subunit ribosomal RNA", at positions 338 to 795 of the family's 1533-position model. The record is from RNAcentral.
CCUACGGGUGGCAGCAGUGGGGAAUAUUGGGCAAUGGGCGCAAGCCUGCCCCAGCAACGCCGCGUGAAGGCAGAAGGCUUUCGGGUUGUAAACUUCUUUUGUCAGGGAAGAGUAGAAGACGGUACCUGACGAAUAAGCCACGGCUAACUACGUGCCAGCAUCCGCGGUAAUACGUAGGUGGCAAGCGUUGUCCGGAUUUACUGGGUGUAAAGGGCGUGUAGCCGGGUUGACAAGUCAGAUGUGAAAUCCUGCGGCUUAACCGCAGAACUGCAUUUGAAACUGUUGAUCUUGAGUACUGGAGAGGCAGAUGGAAUUCCUAGGGUAGCGGUGAAAUGCGUAGAUAUUAGGAGGAACACCAGUGGCGAAGGCGGUCUGCUGGACAGCAACUGACGGUGAGGCGCGAAAGCGUGGGGAGCAAACAGGAUUAGAUAUCCCUGUAGUC